AGGUAAGCUACUAAGAGCGAAUGGUGGAUGCCUUGACUGGUAAAGGCGAUGAAGGACGUACUAGACUGCGAUAAGCUACGGGGAGCUGUCAAGAAGCUUUGAUCCGUAGAUUUCCGAAUGGGGCAACCCAAUGUAUAGAGAUAUACAUUACCUAUAUAGGAGCGAACGAGGGGAAUUGAAACAUCUUAGUACCCUCAGGAAAAGAAAUCAAUAGAGAUUGCGUCAGUAGCGGCGAGCGAAAGCGCAAGAGGGCAAACCCAGUGCUUGCACUGGGGGUUGUAGGACUGCAAUGUGCAAGAGGUAAGUUUAGCAGAACAUUCUGGAAAGUAUAACCAUAGAGGGUGAUAGUCCCGUAUGCGAAAAACAAACCUUAGCUAGCAGUAUCCUGAGUAGGGCGGGACACGAGGAAUCCUGUCUGAAUCCGGGUCGACCACGAUCCAACCCUAAAUACUAAUACCAGAUCGAUAGUGCACAAGUACCGUGAGGGAAAGGUGAAAAGAACUGAGGUGAUCAGAGUGAAAUAGAACCUGAAACCAUUUGCUUACAAUCAUUCAGAGCCCUAUGUAGCAAUACAGGGUGAUGGACUGCCUUUUGCAUAAUGAGCCUGCGAGUUGUGGUGUCUGGCAAGGUUAAGCAAACGCGAAGCCGUAGCGAAAGCGAGUCUGAAUAGGGCGCUUAGUCAGAUGCUGCAGACCCGAAACGAAGUGAUCUAUCCAUGAGCAAGUUGAAGCUAGUGUAAGAACUAGUGGAGGACUGAACCCAUAGGCGUUGAAAAGCCCCGGGAUGACUUGUGGAUAGGGGUGAAAGGCCAAUCAAACUUCGUGAUAGCUGGUUCUCUCCGAAAUAUAUUUAGGUAUAGCGUUGUGUCGUAAUAUAAGGGGGUAGAGCACUGAAUGGGCUAGGGCAUACACCAAUGUACCAAACCCUAUCAAACUCCGAAUACCUUAUAUGUAAUCACAGCAGUCAGGCGGCGAGUGAUAAAAUCCGUCGUCAAGAGGGAAACAACCCAGACUACCAGCUAAGGUCCCUAAAUCUUACUUAAGUGGAAAACGAUGUGAAGUUACUUAAACAACCAGGAGGUUGGCUUAGAAGCAGCCAUCCUUUAAAGAAAGCGUAAUAGCUCACUGGUCUAGUGAUUUUGCGCGGAAAAUAUAACGGGGCUAAAGUAAGUACCGAAGCUGUAGACUUAGUUUACUAAGUGGUAGGAGAGCGUUCUAUUUGCGUCGAAGGUAUACCGGUAAGGAGUGCUGGAGCGAAUAGAAGUGAGCAUGCAGGCAUGAGUAGCGAUAAUUAAUGUGAGAAUCAUUAACGCCGUAAACCCAAGGUUUCCUACGCGAUGCUCGUCAUCGUAGGGUUAGUCGGGUCCUAAGUCGAGUCCGAAAGGGGUAGACGAUGGCAAAUUGGUUAAUAUUCCAAUACCAACAUUAGUGUGCGAUGGAAGGACGCUUAGGGCUAAGGGGGCUAGCGGAUGGAAGUGCUAGUCUAAGGUCGUAGGAGGUUAUACAGGCAAAUCCGUAUAACAAUACUCCGAGAACUGAAAGGCUUUUUGAAGUCUUCGGAUGGAUAGAAGAACCCCUGAUGCCGUCGAGCCAAGAAAAGUUUCUAAGUUUAGCUAAUGUUGCCCGUACCGUAAACCGACACAGGUGGGUGGGAUGAGUAUUCUAAGGCGCGUGGAAGAACUCUCUUUAAGGAACUCUGCAAAAUAGCACCGUAUCUUCGGUAUAAGGUGUGGUUAGCUUUGUAUUAGGAUUUACUCCGAAAGCAAGGAAACUUACAACAAAGAGUCCCUCCCGACUGUUUACCAAAAACACAGCACUCUGCUAACUCGUAAGAGGAUGUAUAGGGUGUGACGCCUGCCCGGUGCUCGAAGGUUAAUUGAUGGGGUUAGCAUUAGCGAAGCUCUUGAUCGAAGCCCGAGUAAACGGCGGCCGUAACUAUAACGGUCCUAAGGUAGCGAAAUUCCUUGUCGGUUAAAUACCGACCUGCAUGAAUGGCGUAACGAGAUGGGAGCUGUCUCAAAGAGGGAUCCAGUGAAAUUGUAGUGGAGGUGAAAAUUCCUCCUACCCGCGGCAAGACGGAAAGACCCCGUGGACCUUUACUACAGCUUGACACUGCUACUUGGAUAAGAAUGUGCAGGAUAGGUGGGAGGCUUUGAGUAUAUGACGCCAGUUGUAUAUGAGCCAUUGUUGA
This 2190-nucleotide ribosomal RNA is filed under the name Campylobacter jejuni. RNAcentral describes it as "partial 23S ribosomal RNA". It matches the Rfam family "Bacterial large subunit ribosomal RNA", at positions 1 to 2195 of the family's 2925-position model. Lineage: Bacteria; Pseudomonadati; Campylobacterota; Epsilonproteobacteria; Campylobacterales; Campylobacteraceae. The record is from RNAcentral.